CCACGCCCGCUCAAGAAACUACAAAGGAAUUCGACGGACCCCGCACAAGCGGUGGAUCAUGUUGUUUAAUUCGAUGAUACGCGAAGAACCUUACCAGGUCUUGACAUCCCCCGCGAUGCUUUAGAGAUAAAGCGGAGGUAUUCGGGGAGACAGGUGGUGCAUGGUUGUCGUCAGCUCGUGUCGUGAGAUGUUGGGUUAAGUCCCGCAACGAGCGCAACCCCUAUUGCUAGUUACCAUCAUUAAGUUGGGGACUCUAGCGAGACUGCCAGUGAUAAACUGGAGGAAGGUGGGGGAUGACGUCAAAUCAUCAUGCCCCUUAUGACCUGGGCUACAAACGUGAUACAAUGGCUGGAACAAAGGGAUGCGAAGCAGUGAUGUGGAGCGAAACCCAUAAAAACAGUCUCAGUUCGGAUUGAAGUCUGCAACUCGACUUCAUGAAGUCGGAAUCGCUAGUAAUCGCGGAUCAGAACGCCGCGGUGAAUACGUUCUCGGGGUUU
This 497-nucleotide ribosomal RNA is filed under the name uncultured Acholeplasma sp. Its description in RNAcentral is "bacterial SSU rRNA". It matches the Rfam family "Bacterial small subunit ribosomal RNA", at positions 903 to 1382 of the family's 1533-position model. The record is from RNAcentral. Lineage: Bacteria; Bacillati; Mycoplasmatota; Mollicutes; Acholeplasmatales; Acholeplasmataceae.